This 446-nucleotide ribosomal RNA is filed under the name uncultured bacterium. Its description in RNAcentral is "partial 16S ribosomal RNA". It matches the Rfam family "Bacterial small subunit ribosomal RNA", at positions 29 to 523 of the family's 1533-position model. The record is from RNAcentral.
AACGAACGCUGGCGGCAGGCUUAGCACAUGCAAGUCGAACGCCCCGCAAGGGGAGUGGCAGACGGGUGAGUAACGCGUGGGAACGUACCCUUCGCUUCGGAAUAGCCCCGGGAAACUGGGUGUAAUACCGGAUACGCCGUAUUGGGAAAGAUUUAUCGGCGAAGGAUCGGCCCGCGUUGGAUUAGCGAGUUGGUGGGGUAAUGGCCUACCAAGGCGACGAUCCAUAGCUGGUCUGAGAGGAUGACCAGCCACACUGGGACUGAGACACGGCCCAGACUCCUACGGGAGGCAGCAGUGGGGAAUCUUGGACAAUGGGGGCAACCCUGAUCCAGCCAUGCCGCGUGAGUGAAGAAGGCCUUAGGGUUGUAAAACUCUUUUACCAGGGAUGAUAAUGACAGUACCUGGAGAAUAAGCUCCGGCUAACUCCGUGCCAGCAGCCGCCGUAA